GUGGGGAAUUUUGGACAAUGGGCGCAAGCCUGAUCCAGCAAUGCCGCGUGCAGGAAGAAGGCCUUCGGGUUGUAAACUGCUUUUGUACGGAACGAAACGGUCCUGGUUAAUACCUGGGGCUAAUGACGGUACCGUAAGAAUAAGCACCGGCUAACUACGUGCCAGCAGCCGCGGUAAUACGUAGGGUGCGAGCGUUAAUCGGAAUUACUGGGCGUAAAGCGUGCGCAGGCGGUGCUGUAAGACCGGCGUGAAAUCCCCGGGCUCAACCUGGGAAUUGCGCUUGUGACUGCAGUGCUGGAGUACGGCAGAGGGGGAUGGAAUUCCGCGUGUAGCAGUGAAAUGCGUAGAUAUGCGGAGGAACACCGAUGGCGAAGGCAGUCCCCUGGGCCUGUACUGACGCUCAUGCACGAAAGCGUGGGGAGCAAACAGGAUUAGAUACCCUAGUAGUCC
This 450-nucleotide ribosomal RNA is filed under the name uncultured bacterium. Its description in RNAcentral is "bacterial SSU rRNA". It matches the Rfam family "Bacterial small subunit ribosomal RNA", at positions 354 to 796 of the family's 1533-position model. The record is from RNAcentral.